RNAcentral lists this ribosomal RNA (778 nucleotides) under uncultured bacterium. RNAcentral's name for it is "bacterial SSU rRNA". It matches the Rfam family "Bacterial small subunit ribosomal RNA", at positions 61 to 847 of the family's 1533-position model. The record is from RNAcentral.
GUCGAACGGACUUAACUCAUUCUUUUAGAUUGAGAGCGGUUAGUGGCGGACUGGUGAGUAACACGUAAGCAACCUGCCUAUCAGAGGGGAAUAACAGUGAGAAAUCAUUGCUAAUACCGCAUAAGCUAGUAGUAUCGCAUGAUAUAGCUAGAAAAGGAGCAAUCCGCUGAUAGAUGGGCUUGCGUCUGAUUAGCUAGUUGGUGGGGUAACGGCCUACCAAGGCGACGAUCAGUAGCCGGACUGAGAGGUUGAACGGCCACAUUGGGACUGAGAUACGGCCCAGACUCCUACGGGAGGCAGCAGUCGGGAAUAUUGCGCAAUGGAGGAAACUCUGACGCAGUGACGCCGCGUAUAGGAAGAAGGUUUUCGGAUUGUAAACUAUUGUCGUGAGGGAAGAAAUUGACAGUACCUCAGGAGGAAGCUCCGGCUAACUAUGUGCCAGCAGCCGCGGUAAUACAUAGGGAGCAAGCGUUAUCCGGAUUUAUUGGGUGUAAAGGGUGCGUAGACGGGAAAUUAAGUUAGUUGUGAAAUCCCUCGGCUUAACUGAGGAACUGCAACUAAAACUGAUUUUCUUGAGUACUGGAGAGGAAAGUGGAAUUCCUAGUGUAGCGGUGAAAUGCGUAGAUAUUAGGAGGAACACCAGUGGCGAAGGCGACUUUCUGGACAGUAACUGACGUUGAGGCACGAAAGUGUGGGGAGCAAACAGGAUUAGAUACCCUGGUAGUCCACACUGUAAACGAUGGAUACUAGGUGUAGGAUGUAUUAAGCAUUCUGUGCC